This 790-nucleotide ribosomal RNA is filed under the name uncultured bacterium. RNAcentral's name for it is "bacterial SSU rRNA". It matches the Rfam family "Bacterial small subunit ribosomal RNA", at positions 8 to 796 of the family's 1533-position model. The record is from RNAcentral.
AGAGUUUGAUCCUGGCUCAGAUUGAACGCUGGCGGUAUGCUUUACACAUGCAAGUCGAACGGAUUAUGGAGCUUGCUCCAUAGUUAGUGGCGAACGGGUGAGUAAUAUAUCGGAACAUAUCCGGAAGUGGGGGAUAACGUAGCGAAAGUUACGCUAAUACCGCAUAUGCCCUGAGGGGGAAAGGGGGGGAUCGCAAGACCUCUCGCUUUCGGAGUGGCCGAUAUCGGAUUAGCUAGAUGGUGAGGUAAAGGCUCACCAUGGCGACGAUCCGUAGCUGGUCUGAGAGGACGACCAGCCACACUGGAACUGAGACACGGUCCAGACUCCUACGGGAGGCAGCAGUGGGGAAUAUUGGACAAUGGGCGAAAGCCUGAUCCAGCAAUACCGCGUGUGUGAAGAAGGCCUUCGGGUUGUAAAGCACUUUCAAUUGGGAGGAAAACCUACCGGUCAAUACCCGGUAGCUUGACAUUACCUUUAGAAGAAGCACCGGCUAACUCCGUGCCAGCAGCCGCGGUAAUACGGAGGGUGCGAGCGUUAAUCGGAAUUACUGGGCGUAAAGCGUGCGUAGGUGGUUCGUUAAGUCAGAUGUGAAAGCCCUGGGCUCAACCUGGGAACGGCAUUUGAAACUGGCGGACUUGAGUUUAGUAGAGGGGAGUGGAAUUUCAGGUGUAGCGGUGAAAUGCGUAGAUAUCUGAAGGAACACCAGUGGCGAAGGCGACUCCCUGGACUAAAACUGACGCUGAGGUACGAAAGCGUGGGUAGCAAACAGGAUUAGAUACCCUGGUAGUCC